Molecule: ribosomal RNA, 253 nt
Filed under: uncultured bacterium
Lineage: Bacteria
Description: partial 16S ribosomal RNA
Rfam family: Bacterial small subunit ribosomal RNA
Source: RNAcentral
UACAGAGGUCUCAAGCGUUGUUCGGAUUCAUUGGGCGUAAAGGGUGCGUAGGCGGCCCUGUAAGUCAGCGCUGAAAUAUCCCGGCUUAACCGGGAGGGUGGCAUUGAUACUGCAGGGCUUGAGUAAAGUUGAGGUUGGCGGAAUUGACGGUGUAGCGGUGAAAUGCUUAGAUAUCGUCAAGAACACCGAUAGUGAAGACAGCUAACUAAGCUUUAACUGACGCUGAGGCACGAAAGUGUGGGGAUCAAACAGG